UCGGCAAUGGGCGCAAGCCUGACCGAGCGACGCCGCGUGCGGGAUGAAGGCCCUCGGGUUGUAAACCGCUGUCAGAGGGGAUGAAGUGUACGAGAGCUAUCUCUUGUAUUUGACAGAGCCUCAGAGGAAGCACGGGCUAAGUUCGUGCCAGCAGCCGCGGUAAUACGAACUGUGCGAACGUUAUUCGGAAUCACUGGGCUUAAAGGGUGCGUAGGCUGUUACCUAAGUCAGGUGUGAAAUCUCUCGGCUCAACCGGGAAACUGCGCUUGAUACUGGGUGGCUAGAGUGAGGUAGGGGUGUGUGGAACUUCCGGUGGAGCGGUGAAAUGUGUAGAUAUCGGAAGGAACGCCAGCAGCGAAAGCGGCACACUGGGCCUUUUCUGACGCUGAGGCACGAAAGCUAGGGGAGCGAACGGGAUUAGAUACCCCGGUAGUCCUAGCCGUAAACACUGAACACUCGAGGAGGGGGGCUUCGGCCUUCUUCUUCUUAGCGAAAGCGUUAAGUGUUCCGCCUGGGGAGUAUGGUCGCAAGGCUGAAACUCAAAGGA
RNAcentral lists this ribosomal RNA (547 nucleotides) under uncultured bacterium. RNAcentral's name for it is "bacterial SSU rRNA". It matches the Rfam family "Bacterial small subunit ribosomal RNA", at positions 365 to 908 of the family's 1533-position model. The record is from RNAcentral.